RNAcentral lists this transfer RNA (70 nucleotides) under Margattea multipunctata. RNAcentral describes it as "tRNA-Val". The record is from RNAcentral. Lineage: Eukaryota; Metazoa; Arthropoda; Insecta; Blattodea; Pseudophyllodromiidae.
CAAGUUAUAUCUAUAAGAAGGAAUUUUCAGUUACGUUGAAAUGUUGAUUGUGCAAUUCAAUCUAAUUUGA